Molecule: non-coding RNA, 47 nt
Organism: Anopheles sinensis
Lineage: Eukaryota; Metazoa; Arthropoda; Insecta; Diptera; Culicidae
Source: Rfam
AAAAUGGUCUCUUUUCAGAGCCACCAAAUGGUAACAACAAGAAUUUU